UUGGGUCUGGCUGGCCGGUCCGCCUCACCGCGAGUACUGGUCCGGCUGGAUCUUUCCUUCUGGGGAACCUCAUGGCCUUCACUGGCUGUGGGGGGAACCAGGACUUUUACUGUGAAAAAAUUAGAGUGUCAAAGCAGGCCUUUGCUCGAAUACAUUAGCAUGGAAUAAUAGAAUAGGACGUGUGGUUCUAUUUUGUUGGUUUCUAGGACCGCCGUAAUGAUUAAUAGGGAUAGUCGGGGGCGUCAGUAUUCAGCUGUCAGAGGUGAAAUUCUUGGAUUUGCUGAAGACUAACUACUGCGAAAGCAUUCGCCAAGGAUGUCUUCAUUAAUCAGGGAACGAAAGUUAGGGGAUCGAAGACGAUCAGAUACCGUCGUAGUCUUAACCAUAAACUAUGCCGACUAGGGAUCGGACGGGAUUCUAUGAUGACCCGUUCGGCA
RNAcentral lists this ribosomal RNA (437 nucleotides) under uncultured eukaryote. Its description in RNAcentral is "SSU rRNA". It matches the Rfam family "Eukaryotic small subunit ribosomal RNA", at positions 641 to 1085 of the family's 1831-position model. The record is from RNAcentral.